GGGUAUGUAAUUUUGCUGAUGUCAUGAAGCUAGACUCAGACCCUCUCUGAAAGUAGAGGCUCCAGGAACAAAAUUUGAUGUCUUCUUUCCAUCCUGGGAAUGGACAUAGUGAUAGUCGGAGGUCUGUGUUUUAUGCCAAUGAAAAGUGGGAAUUUUUAGACCCAACCCCUAAGGACCUAGAGGAGUCCAUAGUACAGGAAGAAAAGAAGGAGCCAACCCCUGAAGGAAACAAAGUUUCACAAAGGCUGAAAAAUUUGCCUCAUACUUCCCUCAAAGCCAAACAGUUGCUUCAAACUUCAUCUACAAAUAGAGGAUUUGUACCUCAAUUGAUGGAAUACUGGUAAUUCUUCUACUCCAUUUGAAGAUGAAAAAUAAAGGCCAAAAUCAUAGGCCUGGCACAGAAGCUGGAUAAUGAAGACAGCUCCGGAGGAACACAUAGAUACACACACAUAUAGACACACACAUAUAUAAAGUACACAGACAUAUUAUUUUUAAAGUUUAUUUUUUAAAGUUUUAAAGUUUCUAAAAUGAAAGCUGGCCCUGCCUCUCUCCCAGAGUGAGCGGAGACAGCGGUUGCAUGAGCAGCUUUCCUUGUGAGGCCACAGGUCCCUCUGGACACGCUGCUGCCUGGCCAUGCCUCCUUUCCCUUUCAUCUUUCUCAUAGACCAAUGGGCUUGGAGCAUUAAGGCCAUACCCCUAUUAUGCAUUCUAGUGCGACCUUGUUUACACCUCCCCUGGCUCAGUCACACAGCUGUGUGGUAGGCUACUAGAAGUGUUUAGUAGUUGUCACUGGGAUCAUGCUGAUGUGGCCCCAUCCCCGCCUCUCCCUGCCCUGUGAUAUCGGAGGAAACCUGACAGAGCAAAUUGGCCAUGGCCAAGAAAAAGAAACAACAGAACCAAGAAAUGGUGGAUCAGUUGGAAGAAGUAACUCUUUGCUUACAACAUGACUGCUGGGUUUGGGAGGCACUCAGAUGUAGAGAUCUCAGUCUUGUCUCACCUAGUCCCAGCCUGGGGAAGAAGGCUCACCCCUCAGAUUCCACCCCAUCCCCAUAAGGAAAAGAAAGAGUGCCACCAAAAGCAGGGAGCCCUAAGGGAGCAGUUACAGGAGUCUGAGGAUCUGGCCAGCCGCCUUUAGUAUUCCAGGCAGUGUGUGGGAGAGUUGGAGCAGGCUCUCUGCUGUCUCCACACAGCAGAAGAAAGCAGACAGGUACAACAAGGAGUUAACCAAAGAGAGAGACGCCCUCAGGCUGGAGUUAUACAAGAACAGUUCAUUCCUUUCUCUACUGCCUCUGGCCAUAACCGAAGCAAUGAGGACCUAAAGCAGGAGAAAUCAGAAUUGGAAGAGAAGCUUCAAGUCCUGGUGACUGAGAAGGCUGGCAUGCAGCUUAUUUUAGAAGAGCCGCAAAAGAAAUUACAAAUG
RNAcentral lists this long non-coding RNA (1420 nucleotides) under Pan troglodytes (chimpanzee). RNAcentral's name for it is "long non-coding RNA NONPTRT004051". The record is from RNAcentral. Lineage: Eukaryota; Metazoa; Chordata; Mammalia; Primates; Hominidae.